CGAUUGGAGAACAAGGACAAAGCC
RNAcentral lists this non-coding RNA (24 nucleotides) under Cricetulus griseus (Chinese hamster). Lineage: Eukaryota; Metazoa; Chordata; Mammalia; Rodentia; Cricetidae. The record is from RNAcentral.